Molecule: ribosomal RNA, 253 nt
Filed under: uncultured bacterium
Lineage: Bacteria
Description: partial 16S ribosomal RNA
Rfam family: Bacterial small subunit ribosomal RNA
Source: RNAcentral
UACGUAGGAGGCAAGCGUUAUCCGGAAUGACUGGGCGUAAAGGGUGCGUAGGUGGUUUGACAAGUUGGUAGCGUAACUCCGAGGCUCAACCUCGGCACUACUACCAAAACUGUUGAACUUGAGUGCAGGAGGGGCAACUGGAAUUCCUAGUGUAGCGGUGGAAUGCGUAGAUAUUAGGAGGAACACCAGUGUCGAAGGCGAGUUGCUGGACUGUAACUGACACUGAGGCACGAAAGCGUGGGGAGCAAACAGG